CCUACGGGAGGCAGCAGUCGGGAAUAUUGCGCAAUGGAGGAAACUCUGACGCAGUGACGCCGCGUAUAGGAAGAAGGUUUUCCGAUUGUAAACUCUUGUCGUUAGGGAAGAUAAAAGACUGUACCUAACGAGGCCGCCCCGGCUCACUAGGUGCCAGCACCCGCGGGAAUACAUAGGGGGCAGGCGUUAUCCGGAAUUAUUGGGUGUAAAGGGGUCUUAGACGGAAGAACAAGUUGGUUGUGAAAUCCCUCGGCUCAACUGAGGAACUGCAACCAAAACUAUUGUCCUUGAGUGUCGGAGAGGAAAGUGGAAUGCCUAGUGUAGCGGUGAAAUGCGUAGAUAUUAGGAGGAACACCAGUGGCGAAGGCGACUUGCUGGACGAUAACUGACGUUGAGGCACGAAAGUGUGGGGAGCAAACAGGAUUAGAUACCCGUGUAGUC
Molecule: ribosomal RNA, 441 nt
Filed under: uncultured bacterium
Lineage: Bacteria
Description: partial 16S ribosomal RNA
Rfam family: Bacterial small subunit ribosomal RNA
Source: RNAcentral